Molecule: long non-coding RNA, 1101 nt
Filed under: Helianthus annuus (common sunflower)
Lineage: Eukaryota; Viridiplantae; Streptophyta; Magnoliopsida; Asterales; Asteraceae
Description: hypothetical non coding rna
Source: RNAcentral
GGUUUUUAGUGGUAAGGCAGGUGGUGUUAUUAUUGCGGAAGCGGGUGAUGGUGGUUCGGUAGCGGAAGUUGGUGGUGGUGAUGCGGCAGCGGGUGACGGUUGCGGUGUAGAAAAAAUGGGUGAAGUUGCCCAUCUCCGGGACUCGUUUUUGAGAAGAUCGAUCAUCUCAGCAAUCGUUGAUAUGAUUCGAUCCAACGACUCGUUCCAUUCGUGAGCGUCCAUGAGGGGAUCAAGACCGCUCUGAUACCAAUUGUUACGAACCAAAUCGUUAACCAAUUGAUCCAAAGAAAAAAAGGUAGAAGCUUGAGAGAAUUAAUAGACUUUUGGAAGAGAUUCAACUUAUCAUUUUCAUUCAUAAUCUAAAAAUGAAAUACAAACUCAAAUAUAUAAUGCAAAUGAUGCAUACGUAACUUACCCACUACUAAGAGAGUGACCCAUGAUUCCUAAAAAUAUGCACUAACAACCCUACUCUUGACUCUAGAACUCCACUAACUAACAAGGAAUUAUUCAAAGACAAUAAAAUAAAAUAAGAAAUAAAAGACAAUUAAAAAACCAUAUCCACUUGAGCAUGCACUCUAGCUCCACACAUAAUAACAACGUCCGAAUGUAUUCAUCAUUGUGAAGGGCAGAUAUCAUACUGACCGAUCAGUGGACCUACUUUAAAUAAUAGGGUAUCGGUUCUCAGUGUCUCGGUCCUCUCGGUUCCUACCCCCUACCCGAACCCGAUUUUCAUUUCAACUAUUCAAGUGCAAUUGAUAAAUGGAAGAUGUAAUUUCAGUUACACACGUAUGAAGAUUCAUCUCACAGUGGAUUAUAUCACAAUUGCAAUCACUAUUUCAGAUUCCAAAAUUGGUGGAUUAAAUCACAAAUUUGAAGUAUAACAUCAUGUACCUUGCCAACAACAAGCGUGGAGCAACCGUCAAUUGAAGAACGAAGAACAAAACAAAAAAUGAAUGUAGAUUGCAAGAGAGUGAAGAAUUAGUAUGAUGACUGAUGAUGAUCUGUGUGUACGUACGUAAAUUAGGUAUAGUAUUGAAUUUAGUAUAAAAGUGAAAAGUCAGUCCAAUAAAAUAACAGGCCAAAGCCCAUUCGAUUUGGUUU